This is a long non-coding RNA of Gasterosteus aculeatus aculeatus (three-spined stickleback), 1429 nucleotides long. NCBI's taxonomy places the organism in Eukaryota, Metazoa, Chordata, Actinopteri, Perciformes, Gasterosteidae. The record is from Ensembl.
CAAAUCUAAAAAAUGUGCUGAUAAGUGACGUCUUUAGCCUUUAAACUGUGUCCAUAUAAAAGACCGCAAUAGAUUUUUGUCACAUCAGAUGUAAGGUUUGCAACAUGGUGCAAAGUGGACGAAAUAGACACUGAAAUAGUUUUAAACAUCAAGAGCAGUGAGGGUGGGGAAUUCAAAACGUUUCAUCUUUCUCUUCACCUGGAUUCAAAAGAAAAAGGAUGGCUGUGGCACAGAUAAUAUCAAUCUUCCUGAUUAUAAUGGUGACUGCUGCAACCUACAACUACAGAAGCUUCAACUGCCACAACAGCGAAUGAUGCAAGUACAACAGUGGAAACUGCAACUUCCGCAACAGUGACUGAUCCACCUACAACUACUUUAGCUUCAACUGACGCAACAGUGACUGCUGCACCUACAACUACAGCAGCUUCAACCGACGCAACAGUGACUGCUGCAAGUACAACAGCGGAUCGGGCAAGUUCCGCAACAGUGGCUGAUGCACCUUCAACUGCAGCAGCUUCAACUGCCACAACAGCGACUGAUGCAACUACUACUACAGCAGCAACGACUGCUGUUCCGACAACAGUAGCAUCUUCAACUGAGGCAACAGCGACUGCUGCAAGUACAACAGUGGAUCCUGCAACAGUGACUGAUGCACCUACAACCACAAGAGCGUCAACUGACACAACAACGACUGCUGCAAGUACAACAGCGGAUCCGGCAACUUCUGCAACAGUGACUGAUGAACCUACAACUGCAGCAGCUUCAACUGCCACACCAGCGACUGAUGCCCCUACAACUACAGCAGCAACGACUGCUGUCCCGACAACAGCAGCAUCUUCAACUGACGCCACAGCAACUGCUGCAAGUACAACAGCGGAUCCUGCAACUUCCGCAACAGUGGCUGAUGCACCUACAACUGCAGCAGCUUCAACUGCCACAACAGCGACUGAUGCAACUACUGCUACAGCAGCAACGACUGCUGUUCCGACAACAGUAGCAUCUUCAACUGAGGCAACAGCGACUGCUGCAAGUACAACAGUGGAUCCUGCAACAGUGACUGAUGCACCUACAACCACAAGAGCGUCAACUGACACAACAACGACUGCUGCAAGUACAACAGCGGAUCCGGCAACUUCUGCAACAGUGACUGAUGCACCUACAACUGCAGCAGCUUCAACUGCCACACCAGCGACUGAUGCAACUACUGCUACAGCAGCAACGACUGCUGUUCCGACAACAGUAGCAUCUUCAACUGAGGCAACAGCGACUGCUGCAAGUACAACAGCGGAUCCUGCAACGUCUGCAACAGUGACAGAUGACCUUACAACUGCAUUAGCAACGACUGCUGCAACUACAACUGCAGCAGCUUCAACUGCCACAACAGCGAAUGAUGCAAGUACAACAGCGGAUCUUGCAACUUCCGCAACAG